AUUUCUCAUUUCCCUCUCUUAUCCUCAAUGGAAAAAAUAAUCUGAGAAAACGCAGGUGAAGAACAAAGCUAAAUCCUCAGAUUCGGCGCCGGAGAAUCUUUAAGUUUCGACAUAAUCGGAAUCUUAGAUUUUGAUAAUUCCUAUGGAAGGGGUUAUCACAUGUUUCCAUUCUAAAUGCGUCGCUCUUCCAAUUCGUUCUUUACCACUUUCUAGGGUUUCUUCACUUCCUCGGUGGAGGAACACUAAUUUGGUCUCUUCAUCGAGAUCGGUUCUUCGGAGGAGCUUGUGCGUUUCGGCUUCGAGCUCAGAUACUUUAGUCGCUGGCGGUUCACCAAAGGAAGACGAAAGACAGAGCAAAGCAUCGAGCAGAAAGGAAGGAGAUGACUCCGAGGAUUUGAAGUUUUGGAUGGACAAGAAUGGUUUGCCACCUUGCAAGGUUGUUCUUAAUGAGAGACCAGCUCAUGAUCAGAAGCAUAAACCCAUACAUUAUGUUGCUGCUAGUGAGGAUCUUCAGAAGGGUGAUGUGGCGUUUUCAGUUCCCGAUUCUUUGGUGGUCACACUGGAAAGAGUUUUGGGAAACGAGACUAUUGCCGAACUGUUGACGACGAACAAAUUGUCAGAACUGGCUUGCCUAGCUUUGUAUUUGAUGUAUGAAAAGAAACAAGGAAGAAAAUCAGUUUGGUAUCCCUAUAUAAGGGAACUUGAUCGUCAAAGAGGAAGAGGUCAGUUAGAUGCGGAGUCUCCGUUGCUGUGGUCAGAGGCUGAGUUAGAUUACCUAACUGGUAGUCCGACCAAGGCCGAAGUUCUUGAGAGGGCUGAGGGGAUCAAAAGAGAAUACAAUGAGCUCGACACUGUCUGGUUUAUGGCUGGAUCUUUGUUUCAGCAAUACCCGUUUGACAUACCAACUGAAGCAUUUUCAUAUGAGAUUUUCAAACAGGCAUUUGUUGCCAUUCAGUCCUGUGUGGUGCAUUUACAAAAUGUCGGUUUGGCUCGUCGUUUUGCUUUGGUUCCCCUUGGCCCUCCCUUGUUGGCCUAUUGUUCCAACUGCAAGGCAAUGCUUACUGCUGUUGAUGGUGCUGUUGAACUCGUGGUAGAUAGGCCAUAUAAGGCUGGUGAUCCUAUAGUUGUCUGGUGUGGGCCACAACCUAAUGCGAAGUUGCUUCUGAACUAUGGAUUCGUUGAUGAAGAUAACCCUUAUGACAGAAUAAUAGUUGAGGCAGCGUUGAACACUGAGGAUUCUCAAUAUCAGGACAAGAGAAUGGUUGCUCAAAGGAACGGAAAGUUAUCCCAACAAAUUUUUCAGGUACGUGUGGGAAAAGAAAGAGAAGCUGUCCAAGACAUGCUUCCCUACCUACGGUUGGGUUACAUGUCUGAUCCGUCUGAAAUGCAAUCAGUAAUUUCGUCCCAAGGUCCAGUUUGUCCGAUGAGCCCUUGCAUGGAAAGAGCAGUACUAGAUCAGCUUGCUAAUUACUUCAUGAGACGGUUAGCUGGCUACCCUACUACUCCGAAAGAAGAUGCUGCAUUGUUGGCAGAUCCUAGUUUGAGUCCUAGGAAGCGAGUGGCAACCAGGCUUGUCCAAUUGGAGAAGAAAAUACUAGCUGCAUGCCUUACGACAACAGUGGAUUUGUUAAAUCAGUUGCCUGAUACAAGCAUCUCCCCAUGCCCAGCACCAUAUGCUCCAUCCUUAAAAUAAAAAAAAGGUUCGUGUUGUAGCUGCAAUUUGUGGGACAUGGCAGAAGAGUAAUUCGUUCUCGUGUCUUUGAUCAAUUACAAUCUGAGGUGGCUUAACGAUAGUCAGUUUUUGUUAUACAAGUCUAGAUCUGAUCCUAGCGUAUGCUGCUCAAAAACAUGACUAGGAAGUUUCCCAAUUAAUUUUGAUUUUGUAUGUAGGGGUACUAGGAGCGUUACCUAUCGCUUGACAUGCAAAUGUUUCAGCCAAUGAUUGUCCUUUUUCUUUCAACAAUGAAGCUUAAGUCGCAUUGUAGAAAUCCUGCGAAAUGUAAUUACAGACAUGAACCUUUCUGAACUCGCGUUGUGUUCAGUUUAAGUGCUUUUUUUUUUUUUAUGUUGAGAGUCGUGUUCAGUUUUUCUGUUAUAGCUUCAAAAGCCUAAUGGAAAACAAAAACGUCAAGACGAGCAGAUAGAACUAAUAAAAACGGCACGCGUUUCUUUGA
Molecule: RNA transcript, 2174 nt
Organism: Capsella rubella
Lineage: Eukaryota; Viridiplantae; Streptophyta; Magnoliopsida; Brassicales; Brassicaceae
Gene name: ribulose-1,5 bisphosphate carboxylase/oxygenase large subunit N-methyltransferase, chloroplastic
Exons: 13
Source: RefSeq, a predicted model, not a curated record